GACGAACGCUGGCGGCGUGCUUAACACAUGCAAGUCGAACGGGAUUUAGUAAACAGAAGCCUCGGUGGAAGAUUACUAAUGAGAGUGGCGAAUGGGUGAGUAACGCGUGAGCAACCUGCCUAUGACAGUGGGAUAGCCUCGGGAAACCGGGAUUAAUACCGCAUAAAAUCGUAGAAACACAUGUUUUAACGGUCAAAGAUUUAUCGGUCAUAGAUGGGCUCGCGUCUGAUUAGCUAGUUGGUGAGAUAACAGCCCACCAAGGCGACGAUCAGUAGCCGGUCUGAGAGGAUGAACGGCCACAUUGGAACUGAGACACGGUCCAAACUCCUACGGGAGGCAGCAGUGGGGAAUAUUGCACAAUGGGGGAAACCCUGAUGCAGCGACGCCGCGUGAACGAAGAAGGUAUUCGUAUCGUAAAGUUCUGUCCUAUGGGAAGAUAAUGACAGUACCAUAGAAGAAAGCUCCGGCUAAAUACGUG
This 478-nucleotide ribosomal RNA is filed under the name uncultured bacterium. Its description in RNAcentral is "partial 16S ribosomal RNA". It matches the Rfam family "Bacterial small subunit ribosomal RNA", at positions 28 to 507 of the family's 1533-position model. The record is from RNAcentral.